Molecule: ribosomal RNA, 253 nt
Filed under: uncultured bacterium
Lineage: Bacteria
Description: partial 16S ribosomal RNA
Rfam family: Bacterial small subunit ribosomal RNA
Source: RNAcentral
UACGAAGGGGGCUAGCGUUGCUCGGAAUCACUGGGCGUAAAGGGCGCGUAGGCGGCCUUCUAAGUCGAACGUGAAAUCCCCGGGCUCAACCCGGGAACUGCGUCCGAUACUGGGAGGCUUGAAUCCGGGAGAGGGAUGCGGAAUUCCAGGUGUAGCGGUGAAAUGCGUAGAUAUCGUAAGGAAGACCAGUGGCGAAGGCGGGUCUCUGGACAGUUCCUGACGCUGAGGCACGAAGGCCAGGGGAGCAAACGGG